GAUGAAGAACGCAGCGAAAUGCGAUAAGUAAUGUGAAUUGCAGAAUUCCGUGAAUCAUCGAAUCUUUGAACGCACAUUGCGCCCUCUGGUAUUCCGGGGGGCAUGCCUGUCCGAGCGUCAUUUCAACCCUCAAGCCUUAGUUGCUUGGUGUUGGGAGCUUAUCUUGCCGAAAGGCGGACAACUCCUUAAAACUAUUGGCGGAGUCGCGGUGACCCCAAGCGUAGUAAAUCUUUUUUUUCUCGCUUUAGGUGUUAACGCUGGCUUUCUAGCCGUUAAACCCUCUAAAUUUUUAGUGGUUGACCUCGGAUCAGGUAGGACUACCCGCUGAACUUAAGCAUAUCAAUAAGCGGAGGA
RNAcentral lists this unclassified non-coding RNA (354 nucleotides) under soil metagenome. RNAcentral's name for it is "partial contains 5.8S ribosomal RNA, internal transcribed spacer 2, and large subunit ribosomal RNA". The stretch from base 1 to 120 matches the Rfam family "5.8S ribosomal RNA", at positions 35 to 154 of the family's 154-position model. The record is from RNAcentral.